CAGCGCCACGAGUGGGGACUGUAAUUAUUGGGCCUAAAGCGUCCGUAGCCGGUUCGAUAAAUUUUUUGUGAAAUUGUUGGGCUCAACUCAACACCGUGCAGAAAAGACUGUCAAACUUGGGACUGGGAGGAGUCAGAAGUAUCUUUGGGGUAGCGGUAAAAUGUUAUAUCCUAAAGAGACUACCAGUGGCGAAAGCGUCUGACUAGAACAGGUCCGACGGUGAGGGACGAAAGCCAGGGGAGCAAACCGGAUUAGAGACCCGAGUAGUCC
RNAcentral lists this ribosomal RNA (270 nucleotides) under uncultured archaeon. RNAcentral describes it as "partial 16S ribosomal RNA". It matches the Rfam family "Archaeal small subunit ribosomal RNA", at positions 477 to 747 of the family's 1478-position model. The record is from RNAcentral.